This 277-nucleotide ribosomal RNA is filed under the name Mantidactylus sp. 9 MV-2009. RNAcentral describes it as "partial 16S ribosomal RNA". The record is from RNAcentral. Lineage: Eukaryota; Metazoa; Chordata; Amphibia; Anura; Mantellidae.
UUAUAUAAGACGAGAAGACCCUAUGGAGCUUCAAACCCAACUACACCCCUAACUCUAUAGCCCCUCAACCACACUGGCCCCUGUAUAGUUGAUUUUAGGUUGGGGCGACCACGGAGUAAAACAAAACCUCCAUAAUGAACGGGCCUACCCCCUUAUCUAAGAACCACACCCCCUAAGAAUUAGAAUACUAACAUAAAAUGAUCCAUUAUUUGAUUAAUGAACCAAGUUACCCUAGGGAUAACAGCGCAAUCCAUUUCGAGAGCCCAUAUCGACAAAU